UUUUAUGUAAUGCCCAGUAUGGCCUGGUUAGAGCGUCCGCCUCGGAUGCGGGAGGUCGUGGGUUCAAUCCCCGGUUUAGUUGAG
Non-coding RNA from Potamilus streckersoni, 84 nucleotides. NCBI's taxonomy places the organism in Eukaryota, Metazoa, Mollusca, Bivalvia, Unionida, Unionidae. The record is from the annotation of a GenBank genome assembly.